This 1673-nucleotide ribosomal RNA is filed under the name seawater metagenome. RNAcentral describes it as "bacterial LSU rRNA". It matches the Rfam family "Bacterial large subunit ribosomal RNA", at positions 1215 to 2925 of the family's 2925-position model. The record is from RNAcentral.
CAGAUGAUGUAGGGUAGAGGAGCGUUCCGCCCAGGGGGAAGCCAAGCGCGUAAGCCGCGGUGGACAGGGCGGAAGUGAGAAUGUCAGCUUGAGUAACGCAAACAUUGGUGAGAAUCCAGUGCCCCGAAAACUCAAGGGUUCCUGCGCAAGGCUCGUCCGCGCAGGGUCAGUCAGGACCUAAGGUGAGGCCGAAAGGCGUAAUUGAUGGCAAGAAGGUUUAUAUUCCUUCACUAGUCUAGGCUUAGUCCUGAGGGACGAACAAAUAACACUCGGCACAAUGGCCUUCCAUGGUAGGAAGGGUCAAACCAUUGUUGUUUGAUGGUAUUUUUUCCAAGAAAAGCUCAUUCGACUUUGAGUCUAGACUACCUGUACCGUAAACCGACACAGGUGAGUGGGUUGAAUAAACUAAGGGGAGCGAGAUAACUCUCUCUAAGGAACUCGGCAAAUUGGCUCUGUACCUUCGGAAGAAAGAGUGCCCCUUCAUGGGGCCGCAGUGAAGAGAUCCAGGCGACUGUUUACCAAAAACACAGGUCUCCGCAAAGUCGUAAGACGACGUAUGGGGGCUGACACCUGCCCAGUGCCAGAAGGUUAAAGAAGUUGGUCAAUCUUUGAUGAAGCUAACGACUGAAGCCCUGGUGAACGGCGGCAGUAACUAUAACUGUCCUAAGGUAGCGAAAUUCCUUGUCGGGUAAGUUCCGACCCGCACGAAAGGUGUAACGAUCUGGAUACUGUCUCAGAGAGAGACUCGGUGAAAUAAAACUAUCUGUGAAGAUGCGGAUUACCUGCACACGGACAGAAAGACCCUAUGAAGCUUUACUGUAACCUGGAAUUGCUCUCAAGCUUAUCUUGCGCAGCUUAGGUGGGAGGCUAUGAACCUUUUCUUCUGGGAAGAGGGGAGCCAUCAGUGAGAUACCACUCUUGGUAAGCUAGAGCGCUCAGUCUUCACCGUCAUCCGGUAAGACGACAGUUUCAGGCGGGCAGUUUGACUGGGGCAGUCACCUCCCAAAAGGUAAUGGAGGUGUGCAAAGGUUCCCUCAGGCUGGACGGAAAUCAGCCAUAGAGUGUAAAAGCAAAAGGGAGCUUGACUGCGAGACUGACAUGUCAAGCAGAGACGAAAGUCGGCUUUAGUGAUCCGACGGUGCUGUGUGGAAAGGCCGUCGCUCAACGGAUAAAAGUUACUCUAGGGAUAACAGGCUAAUCUCCCCCAAGAGUUCACAUCGACGGGGAGGUUUGGCACCUCGAUGUCGGCUCGUCGCAUCCUGGAGCGGAAGUACGUUCCAAGGGUUGGGCUGUUCGCCCAUAGAAAGCGGCACGCGAGCUGGGUUCAGAACGUCGUGAGACAGUUUGGUCCAUAUCCUGUGUAGGCGUUUAGAGCAUUGAAAGGAUCUCCCCUUUGUACGAGAGGACCAGGUGGGGACAGACCGCUAGUGUACCAGUUAUCCCACCAGGGGUAAACGCUGGGUAGCUAUGUCUGGAGUAAAUAACUGCUGAAAGCAUAUAAGUAGGAAGUUCACCUUAAGAUGAGUGCUCUUUUGUCUCAACCGUUCAGUUUUACUGACAAAUGAAAGACAAGGAAGGUCACGGCAAGACGAGCCGUUUGAUAGGCAUGAAGUAGAAGUGCAGUAAUGCAUUCUGAAGCUGACAUGUGCUAAUAGACCGAGGGAUUUGAUUUU